Molecule: non-coding RNA, 585 nt
Organism: Biomphalaria pfeifferi
Lineage: Eukaryota; Metazoa; Mollusca; Gastropoda; Planorbidae
Source: the annotation of a GenBank genome assembly
GCAAAAAACAGAGACAUCUGUCAAGAUGCCCAAUAGGGCAUGUAAAAAAUGUAUAUUGAAUCAUCACUAUCAAAGUUGAACUAUCCACUUAUGUUUCUAUAGGUAUCUUCACUUUAGUCAAUUUCUAAUGAUAUAAAAAAAAAAGUCAAAAUUUAGCAAGGCUAUAUGAAGAGAACCUGUACAAUCACAAAUUAACUAGAGUUCAUAAAGAGGCAGAGUGUUGAUAUCAAUCUUACACAGUUGACACAUCAAGUAAUUAUGUACACAGUGCCAGUAGGAGACAUUGAGAAUUGGGUCUUUGUUCGAUGGAACAGUCCAGACAGACCCAUGGCAACAAUGAAGUCUAUUGCAUAUGUCCCAUGUCAUACAGUCACCACAGCCCUGCUUAUAUACAGUAGGACAAAGGAAGAUAAAUAUUACAUAGUUCAUUUCUUUAUUAUUUAUGUCUUGAUAAAAAUGACAAUAAAGUGUAUUAAUUUAUAGCUGUAAAUUUUAUUUUAGGGCUUUGCUAUCAGAAUUUAACUUCUUUGUUCUAUCUUUAUGGAAACAAUACCUUAUCCAGAAAGUAAAUACCCCCCCCCCCCC